AUCACUGUGUAACUUUGGUCUAUGAGGGAUGGUAUGGACUUCACUUGAGCACGGAUAUUGGGACAAAUCCUACUUCUUCAUGUGAUCUCUUGUGGUCCAAUUGCUUUUAUUGUAUUUUGUUUCUCCUCUAAACUUGGGGGAACAGCCUUCAAUCUUUUAUUCUGAAAAGAGAAACAAAAAUCAAACUUUUUUAUUUUAUUUAUUUUUCUUGAAAUCCAAUUUUUCGUUUUAACACACCUUGGAAGAGUCCUCCCCUACCCCCCCCCCCCCCGGGGGGCGGGGGCACCACUGGUGGCUUUAGCCAUCUUUGCAAACACAUACCAAACUAUAAAAUAUUUAACCAGAAUACAAUAUCAAACAGCCUGAUUAAUUUAUGGGUUUCAUCAAUGGAUUAGGAGUAGUACCAGUGAACUUUCAUGGCAAAAUUUUGUAUACUCUAAAAUUUUAAGGGCUCAUUUCAUCUAAUAUAGCUUUUAUUAGAGGCACUUAUUAAGUGUAAUUUGAGACUUUUUAAAUCUAUUUAUUUCUUUAUUUAGUUCAUAAUAUAGGAUAAAGUAAUUAAAUAUAAUGUUUUAUUUUUUAAAAUGUAAAAGUUAUUCUCAAAGUGCCAAAUUUGAACUUUUGCUAAAACUGUUUUUAAUGCAAAAAAAUUCACUCAUGAUUUUAUGGGAUGAUAUUCAUCAAACACUUCAAAAGUGUUUUUAGCACUCAAAAAUACUUUUUCCGCCAAAGCACUGCAACUCCAAAUGAGUUCUAAGCAUACAAACCGUUAUUUAUUUUCACCACUCCUAGUUCUAGUUGUACUGGUAUAGGUUAAUCUUUAGCAUAUUAAGAAGGCUAAUUCUGCUGUGGAAGACGUUAUUUAUGUCAUGCUACUGUCAAAUUCAUCUCAAUUUCUUCCAUCGUUAUUCACACAACUAUGCCAUUAUUUGUUUGGAGGAUAGUUUGGAAUGGUGGUGAUAGAUAAUCAGAAAGAAGAACAGGAGUCAACAUAUUUGCUUUUGUGAUCCAUAUGCUGAAAUUAAAUCUAGAUAUGAAGAUUCUCCACUUGAGAAAAUUUUAACAAAAAAAUAACCAAUGAGUGAAUAAUGUGCAAAAAAAAGUUUAUCACAAAAUGUUUUUGUUAAUUUUGGAAUUUGAUGUUUAAGAUUGUAGAAAGUCCACGAGGGUCAAAUUGGUAUGUAUGUUUAUAGAAAGUUUAUCCAUUAUUUUGCAGUAAUGUUUGGUGUGUAUGUCAAAUUGGUCCUUAAUGUUUAAAUUAAAACAGAUUUGGUCCCCAAAGUUUCUGAUUUUAUGCAAAUUUAGGACAUCACAAUAACUAACUCGGGUUCUAUAUAGUUUAAGUAACCGAUCUAACAUGUUUUACUUUUCCAUCUAACAAACACUGAACAUGCAAAUUUAAUAGACAUUAUGGGAGAAAAAGUAGGGAUGAACUUGAACUAUAAACCAUGUAGGUAUUGUAGAAGAAAAACUAGAGAUAGGAGAAAUUUGAGUAGAGGAGUAAUCAAAAGAAGAAGUGGAUAAUGAACACGUGAAUUAAUUUCAACUAGUCUAAUAAGGAUUAAACUUCUACUAUUAUCAGUCUUAAUGUCACAAGAAGGAAAGCACAAAGUGCAAAAUAGAAGGCAAGGAUUUAGGACUGGACAUCACACACACAGUGGGCUCGACUCCUUCAAACAAUGGGCACGCAAGCAAUGAACUUUUCUUCUAAAUUUCCGUCGUGAUCUGUUUACUAGGCAAACAUUUUCAUGCUUAGAACAACUUUUGGAAUCAGAGUAAACGUUUGGUCAAUUUUAAUAGGUUUAAAUGUUGAAAUUUCGGAAUACAAAAACUACUUGAUUUUCCUUAUCGAAUAUUUCUACUGGCACUGAUGAACUCAUUGAAAUUUAGCAUUACUACUAUUACUUACCAGUACGUGGAAAGAAACUAGGAACUUGGAAUCUGGUUGGAAAUAAAAGGAACCACUUGAAGGCAAGGUCACAAUCUGUAAAAAAAUUACAAGGCAAACUGUCGGUGACUUGUACUCACAAUUUGUUAAAAAAUUGAAAGGCAAACUGUUGGUGAUUUGUACUUAGUCUUGCCGCUGGAAUGAAGAAAGAAAAGAGUUUAAUGGUUCAAGUCUUCUGAUCAUUCAGUUCCUAAGUUAGCGUCAGCUUUUGAUUCCAAGAAGUAGCAGGCAACAACGUUGCAGCCGUUGUUGCUGAUGAAGAGGAUGAGACGGGUCUUCCU
RNAcentral lists this long non-coding RNA (2229 nucleotides) under Coffea arabica (coffee). RNAcentral's name for it is "long non-coding RNA (CARA_LNC005399)". The record is from RNAcentral. Lineage: Eukaryota; Viridiplantae; Streptophyta; Magnoliopsida; Gentianales; Rubiaceae.